This 292-nucleotide ribosomal RNA is filed under the name uncultured bacterium. RNAcentral describes it as "partial 16S ribosomal RNA". It matches the Rfam family "Bacterial small subunit ribosomal RNA", at positions 505 to 796 of the family's 1533-position model. The record is from RNAcentral.
GUGCCAGCAGCCGCGGUAAUACGUAGGGUGCGAGCGUUAAUCGGAAUUACUGGGCGUAAAGGGUGCGCAGGCGGUUCUGCAAGUCAGGCGUGAAAGCCCCGGGCUUAACCUGGGAAUGGCGCUUGAAACUACAGGACUGGAGUAUGGCAGAGGGAGGUGGAAUUCCACGUGUAGCGGUGAAAUGCGUAGAGAUGUGGAGGAACACCGAUGGCGAAGGCAGCCUCCUGGGCCAAUACUGACGCUCAUGCACGAAAGCGUGGGGAGCAAACAGGAUUAGAUACCCCAGUAGUCC